AAUCUAUCCACCGUGUAUGUCUAGGUACCGAAGUUAAAUUAACCUCAGAACAAAUCAAAUAAAGAAGAGUACCUUUCUUUACACACCAUGCGUGGUAAUUGGUGCAAUUCUUCUUCUUAUGACCUGCAGCUCCACAGAAGAAACAACCGCCUUCAGUUGGUUCCUUAUGCUGUUUCUUUUGCGGUGCCAUACCUGCAGCUUCC
This 203-nucleotide long non-coding RNA is filed under the name Olea europaea (common olive). RNAcentral's name for it is "long non-coding RNA (OEUR_LNC005614)". Lineage: Eukaryota; Viridiplantae; Streptophyta; Magnoliopsida; Lamiales; Oleaceae. The record is from RNAcentral.